RNAcentral lists this ribosomal RNA (698 nucleotides) under uncultured Bradyrhizobium sp. RNAcentral's name for it is "bacterial SSU rRNA". It matches the Rfam family "Bacterial small subunit ribosomal RNA", at positions 26 to 769 of the family's 1533-position model. Lineage: Bacteria; Pseudomonadati; Pseudomonadota; Alphaproteobacteria; Hyphomicrobiales; Nitrobacteraceae. The record is from RNAcentral.
AGAGCGAACGCUGGCGGCAGGCUUAACACAUGCAAGUCGAGCGGGCGUAGCAAUACGUCAGCGGCAGACGGGUGAGUAACGCGUGGGAACGUACCUUUUGGUUCGGAACAACACAGGGAAACUUGUGCUAAUACCGGAUAAGCCCUUACGGGGAAAGAUUUAUCGCCGAAAGAUCGGCCCGCGUCUGAUUAGCUAGUUGGUGAGGUAAUGGCUCACCAAGGCGACGAUCAGUAGCUGGUCUGAGAGGAUGAUCAGCCACAUUGGGACUGAGACACGGCCCAAACUCCUACGGGAGGCAGCAGUGGGGAAUAUUGGACAAUGGGGGCAACCCUGAUCCAGCCAUGCCGCGUGAGUGAUGAAGGCCCUAGGGUUGUAAAGCUCUUUUGUGCGGGAAGAUAAUGACGGUACCGCAAGAAUAAGCCCCGGCUAACUUCGUGCCAGCAGCCGCGGUAAUACGAAGGGGGCUAGCGUUGCUCGGAAUCACUGGGCGUAAAGGGUGCGUAGGCGGGUUUUUAAGUCAGGGGUGAAAUCCUGGAGCUCAACUCCAGAACUGCCUUUGAUACUGAAGAUCUUGAGUCCGGGAGAGGUGAGUGGAACUGCGAGUGUAGAGGUGAAAUUCGUAGAUAUUCGCAAGAACACCAGUGGCGAAGGCGGCUCACUGGCCCGGUACUGACGCUGAGGCACGAAAGCGUGGGAGC